CGGAUCUCUGCCGCUAAUCUCCUGGGGAGGCUGUGCUCUCAGCUUAAGCUCUCAGAAAAAAUAAGAGACAAGGUCUGACUCUGUGCAGUGGAGUGCAGUGGCUCAAUCAUAGCUCACUCCAGCCUCAGACUCCUGGGCCGAAGUGAUCCUCCCACCUCAAGCUCCUGAAUAGCUGGGACUACAGGCAACAAGCUCUGCCAAUUUUUUCUUCGAAGAGUUUUGUUCCAAGCUGGGAGCCGUGGCUCAUGCCUGUCAUCCCAGCACUUUGGGAGGCCAAGGUGGGUGGAUCACUUGAGCCCAGGAGUUCCAGACCACCCUGGGCAACAUGGCGAAACCUCAUCUCUACAAAAUUUUUUUUUUUAAUUAGCUGGGCAUGGUGGCAUGUGCCUGUGGUUCCAGUUACUUGGGAAGCUGAAGUGGGAGGAUCGCUUGAGCCCAGGAGGUCAAGGCUACAGUGAGCUGUGAUGGUGUCAUUGCAUUCCAGCACUCCAGCCCGGGCAUCAGAGUUAGACCUUGUCUUAAAAAAUAAAUAAAUGAAUAAAUAUAAAUAAAAAAUAAAAAGCUUUUACAG
This 571-nucleotide long non-coding RNA is filed under the name Homo sapiens (human). RNAcentral's name for it is "HSALNT0239305". The record is from RNAcentral. Lineage: Eukaryota; Metazoa; Chordata; Mammalia; Primates; Hominidae.